This 63-nucleotide transfer RNA is filed under the name Mahanarva spectabilis. RNAcentral describes it as "tRNA-His". Lineage: Eukaryota; Metazoa; Arthropoda; Insecta; Hemiptera; Cercopidae. The record is from RNAcentral.
ACUUAAAUAUUUUAAAUAAAAUUAUGAUUUGUGAAUUCAUAGAUGUCUAUUAGACUUUAGGUU